RNAcentral lists this long non-coding RNA (570 nucleotides) under Mustela putorius furo (domestic ferret). RNAcentral describes it as "lncRNA (ENSMPUG00000029411.1)". The record is from RNAcentral. Lineage: Eukaryota; Metazoa; Chordata; Mammalia; Carnivora; Mustelidae.
GUUUACAUGACAACCCAUCUGUGAACCCUGGGCUUUACUUUUCUUUGGAAAUGACUGAUUUCAGAGUUGGUAAGUGGACCAUAGGCCAUGCGAGCUGAUGAGUGUCCGUUCGUCGCCAGGCUCCUGUGGCCGCAACAAUCGUUCUCUGAAUGUUUCUCGCAGAAGGGCCUGUGGGAUCGCCGGCGACAGCUGAGAUAAAGGAGGCUUUCUCAUGCCGUGUCCAUCUGCUUCGUGACCUCCCGCAGACCACAGAGGGUCUCAACCCCUUCAGUGUUUCAAAUCGCCGUCGACAGACCAAAGGCUCCCAGAUGGUCCCAGCCCGGCGCUCCGUUCAGACCCUCCGUGACCCGGGCUGAGCCCCGGUCUGCGCCACCAGACCUCCGUCCGAGGUCCCGUCUGCCCAGCGCCGUGUCCACCCCGACGGCCGACGCGAGCCCUCGCUGCUGUCCGUGGCCCGCCUCGUUCUUCAGCCGCCUUACCCCGUGGCUCCCACAUCUUCAAGUCUUACCUCCACGAGGUUCCCGAAUCUCCUGGUCCCGUCCCGGUCCCGUGUGAUCUCCGCAACACCCC